This 553-nucleotide ribosomal RNA is filed under the name Chaetostoma dorsale. RNAcentral describes it as "partial large subunit ribosomal RNA". It matches the Rfam family "Bacterial large subunit ribosomal RNA", at positions 1808 to 2574 of the family's 2925-position model. The record is from RNAcentral. Lineage: Eukaryota; Metazoa; Chordata; Actinopteri; Siluriformes; Loricariidae.
CAAAAACAUCGCCUCCCGCAAAAAUCAACGUAUAGGAGGUCUUGCCUGCCCAGUGACUAUGAGUUAAACGGCCGCGGUACUCUGACCGUGCAAAGGUAGCGCAAUCACUUGUCUUUUAAAUGAAGACCUGUAUGAAUGGUGGAACGAGGGCUUAACUGUCUCCCCCCUCUAGUCAAUGAAAUUGAUCUACCCGUGCAGAAGCGGGUAUAAUAAUACAAGACGAGAAGACCCUUUGGAGCUUAAGACAAAAGACCAACUACGCCAAGAGUCCUUAAAAACUAAACCAAGUAGCACUGGCCCUAGUCUUCGGUUGGGGCGACCGCGGGAGAAAACAAAGCUCCCAUGCGGACUGGGGUAAACCCCUAAAACUAAGAGAGACAUCUCCAAGGCACAGAACAUUUGACCAAAAAGAUCCGGCUAUACGCCGAUCAACGGACCAAGUUACCCUAGGGAUAACAGCGCAAUCCCCUUCCAGAGUCCAUAUCGACAAGGGGGUUUACGACCUCGAUGUUGGAUCAGGACAUCCUAAUGGUGCAGCCGCUAUUAAGGGUUC